Molecule: long non-coding RNA, 4780 nt
Organism: Herpailurus yagouaroundi (jaguarundi)
Lineage: Eukaryota; Metazoa; Chordata; Mammalia; Carnivora; Felidae
Exons: 3
Source: RefSeq, a predicted model, not a curated record
AGGCUGAAAAGCAAAGUCCAAAUUACUGUUUGUUCCCACUGAACAGUGUUCAGAAACCUGUCGCUUUGAGCAAGGUCCGAGCCUCCUAUCUGUCACGCCAAGAAGGACCUUCGAGCCUUUAAAAGCCUGAGCAGCCCAGAGUGUAGCACUGCCCGGCCAGAGCCUGCGCCCAGACCUGCACCCCCACCCCGACAGCCGGGGUCGUGGUCGGCCUCAGUAGCUGUGGGAGCCACCCCAAGCCACUCGUGCUUGAUGUCUGAGUGUGACGGUGCAGGCCGUGGUCACCGCGAGCCCCCACAUGCAGGUGCUCUAUUCCAGGAGGCCCCGCGGUGACCUUCUCGGGGGGUGACUGACAGGGCCACCUGGGGACCAUUCUCCUUUGCGUUUCUCAAGGUCUCCUCCAGGUUAGGUCACUCAUAAUAAAAACUGGAUUCUACCACAGGAUGCAGAGAAAGCAACAACACCCGUCGGAAUCCCGAAUCGGUCAUUUGGAUUGUCUGAGCACUUCCCUUCCCCAGGCACGCCCUUUUGUGAAUGGCUGCUGGAAAUGGAAUACGGGGGAGGGUUAGAAUGAACGGCCAAAGGGUUUUUCAGGAUUAUCCAGGUUUUCACGUUUCUGAGCUUUUCCUGCUCUGCUUCCAUUUCCUGCACAUAAUUGAGCAUUGCCUGGACCCAGAACACAUGGCUUGCCCAAGGGAAAUCUUUCACGGUCUGGGUCCUUUACGUCUUGGAUGAACGUCAGGAACCCGGGUUUGGGAAAGGCGAUGGAUCCCACAUAAUGGGGACAGGAAGAGGUGUUCUUCCUCUCUCCUUUAUUUCCACUCACAUCCUCCAUCACGGCCACCGCGAACGACCCUGGCCUCUCACAUCCCUGAGAGGUAGUUACGAGGCAAGUACAAGAAACGGCAGUCGUGAUAGGGCUGAACUGGGACAGAAUGAGCAGGAGAAUGUGUGAGAAGGAAAAUCUCUGAGGAUGGCCGCUCAUAAGGAUUUAAUGAGUUGGCUCACUGAGCAAGACUUUUGAUUCAACGCAGCACAUUAGACCUGCACGUCAGGGAAAUAGUUCCACUGAUUGCUAUUUUAGCAUUUCGUUGCAAGAUGUACCGCUCGCAUUAAUUUCCUUCUGGAACCCUCUUGAGAGGGACGCCGUGGCUUCGAGUCAGAGCAGACUGUGGGAAACGGAAGCAGCCAGGGUCUAGGCAGGUGGGGGCUUGGGGUGCUGUGGCUUGGAGGAGCCCAGAACCUUCCAGAAAGAGUUCCAGGAGGCAAGCCUUCCCGAAAGGCUCUCCCUUCACAGAACAAAGACUUCGCCGGGGCUGUGGGCUCGGUGGGCACCUGAGAGGCACCGACGGGGGAGGCACAGGACGGCAGGGCCGAGCACAAGUUUUAGAGUGAGGAGUACUCUCUGCUCUCAGCUGAAAACCGCUGAAAAUGCCCCCAUCACCAGAUGAGAGCUAAGCCCUGCAAAGGAACAGCUAGAUGGCAGAACACGGGUGGGUUUUAUCCCGGAAAGGCUGCCUACACACCCGGGAAGAGAAAACACUCCUCCAGACGCAGGGAUGGGGGUGGCGGCAAAGGAAGAUUAUGGGGCUCGCCCAGACACCCAGAGCAGCGUCUGCAGAGAAAAGAGCAGAGCAGGGAGUUCAAGGCGCCAGCAUCUUGUUUCCCGGAGCAUGUACAUGACAGCCACAGGCUGCUUACUUAUCAGGACGGAAAGCGGGAAGGCCCCCAACAACAGAUGCUUUACUCGUCAUUUCUCUUUUUGGAGAAAAAUGACACUGUGGCACGUAAGGCUGUUCUUUUCCAGUGAUUCUCAAUGCCGAAGGCAAAGCCUGAACCGGCAUUUCCCCGGAUUGGGGGGUCUUAUCCCUCGCACCUUAAAGAUUCCGCUGAGAGAUGACGAGCCCCCGCCCCCGCCCCCCCAACCCGGCCAACAGCUGGAGUAGACAGUCAGUCAAGGUUGAGCGUCAUGGGGAUAAACAGCCACCCCCCCCCCCUUUCCCCUGUGGCCCCCCCCCCCCCCCACCCCACCUGGGAUCAUCCUGUCCUGUCACAGAAUCUGUUGACCGGGCAAUCGCCAGCGCGGGGGUUGCUGUGUCCAGCUGUGUGGGGUGAGGCCAGGGACAGGUCAGAACAGGUUCCAGAAGAAACCUGACACGUGUAUGGCCGUGUGUUAAAGACGCGCACCCACACGCACACAACCAAGGCCGUGGUGCCAACAUAAAGCACCAGCUUCCGUGGCCCUAAAGACAUGCCAAAAUCUCAAUAGAAACCCCACUAGAAAAAUAUUAUUCCUUCUCACGACGGCGAGUAGCUGGUACCUGAGCGCAUCUUCUUUUUAAUGGAAAAGACCUGUAUAUGUGGCUGAGGUUGUAACACCAUACCUCUCGACCCGAGAGCAAAUGUCUGGUCCUGCCCCUGCACCUGACUCCAUCAGAGGGGCCGGGUCUGCACCGCUUCCCGCUUGGCCCUGAGCCACUCUCCGGCAGGGCUCGAUCCCCGCUCCGCAGGGCGGGGACUAGAGUAAGGAGUUUGCCGUUUUCACUACGUGUGCAUUCAUGCACGUGUGUGUGCCAACGUGCGCAGAUGUCCCAGCCUCUGCCUCACAGGGACCCUGCCAUCCCAGCAGACGCCAGCGACCGCAAGGCUGGGUCUCAGUGAUCUUCCGCUCGUCCAAACUCCUGUUGUCCUCGCUGCUGAUACUCUACCUCACGCCGGGCCCAAGGCUUACGCUUUAAGUGGUCCGGCCCAUUUCAGCAUCCUCCGCCAUCGCCUUACAAGGACAAUUUGAGGAUGGCCAGUUGAAGCAAAGGCUGUUUGCACCGUCUUGGAACUCGGCUUUCUUUAUUCACAGAGGCAUCCUCUUGGCUCUGCUCUAGCCCGAAGUUCCUUUAUCCUCCCCUCUAAGCCCCACUUUUGCUCACACUGACUGGACCAGCCCAGCUCUCACCUGCACCCUCGCUCACUGGUUCUCAACUGCAGGCAAUCUGGGCCCCUGGGGGACAUCUGGAGACGUCCUCGUGUGUUACAACCGGGUUGGGGGUGCUGGCGUGCUGUGGUGUCUCGUGGGAAGAAGUCAGGCAGGUUCACGGCCGCGAGGCACGGGCUGGUCCCCACAAGAAGGAACCACGCGGCCCAGACGCUCACAGUACCUCUGCUGAGCCGAGAAGGCUGCUCUUUCGGGGAAACAGGACCGCUGGAGUUCGCGGAUUUUCAGUUUUGGACAAUGGGGUCAUUAUCUGGGAUCCAGCCUUGAUGCAUUUUAGCGAGGGAGACGGCUUUAAGGCUGGGGUCGUUUCUGCAGGACUCACAGUGGGCUCCCCAGAACAACGACUGAUUUGUUCACUUGAGCCCAUUUCCAAACAGGCCCCUGCACUAUGUGUUUACAGAUCAGCACGGCGAAGACCCUUCUGGUACCUUCGCCAUAAACGGAGAGCUUGGAGAACAUAUGCGAACAAUUAAGUGUGAUUUGCAGGCUGGGCUUCCGAUGCUUGCUGAUUAGUCACGGGGCUGCGGAAGGAGCCCCGCCUGUUUGCCUUGGUCGGUAUUCCAGACCCAGAGAGCACGUCCACACGGAGAGCAAAGCACACCUCACGGGCGCUUUCUUCCCUCCGUGCUAUUCGGCCACACGCACUGGCAUCACAGCUGAUUCCAUCACCCCUGGCCACGUUCUCCUGCUAAAGAUUCCCCCCACCCCCCGACAAGAACAAACAAACAUGGUCCAGUUGCCCAGUGAGAGAAAGAUGGGGACGAUUUCCAUUUUUCUGCUGGUUUGUGGAUUACUAAGCGCUUUUCAUCCCAUCAUCUCAUCUCAUUUCCAUGGAUGCCUGCACAAUUUCGAUUAUUAUAACCCUCUUCUGUAAGAGGAAACAGGCCAGCAAGGACGAGAAAGAGGCAGGCGGGAACAAAUGUUCAACAUCUCAUCGUGCUGAGGACGCGUGGGAGCAAAGCCACGGCUCCCCUCCAGCUACCCACCUGGCCAGAAACCCAGACUUGCUUUGAGAGUGUGUAACUGGAAGAUGUGUGUUCGAAUGAACUAACCUCUGUACUCCCCCCACACCUCACCAUCCUGAGGUCAGUCACCAGCCAUUUUCAAAAGUUUAAAUUAGUGUAUACAUUCAGCACACUCGCCGCAUCGAUGGCGUAUUUAUAAUUCCUUCAUGGAUUCUUUACCCAGGAAGCUAGUCUACCGGCUCUGGAAUCAGACCAACCCGUGGUUUGGAUCCCAGCUACCUCCCACCUGGUAAAGAGCGCUCUGAAAGAAAGCAGUGGUGUCCCUCAGCACAUGGAUUCGGCUUUUCAAAUCCCAGGAAGCAAAGUCAACUGACUCCCUCCCCUUGCUCCUCCCCCAGCUCCUCCUCCUGGCCGACCCUCCUCCUCUUCUUUCUAGAAGCUGUUGUUGUCCUUGGUUUCAUUUCUGAGACGCUGCAUUCAUCUCCGGAAGUGUCCUCGGCAUGUGGGCGAUAAUGCCCAAGAGACACGACUGCGGAGUGAGAUGGGCCAUCUUGAUGGACAAACAGGUCGGUUGCAGGGCCACAAUUCAAUACGUUCAGCAAAUCCUCCGGAUUUCAGCAGAGAUAUCCUUUGUAUGGAAAGCUCCACAAACAGCUCUAAACAAAGAAGUUUCCAGACUUUCAAAGCUAUGACAGACGCUUAAAACGGUGCUAACCCUGAGCACAGUUAUAGAGAGAAAUAUACUUUCAAGGCUCCUCUAUUGGAGAACGUGGUAUGUGAAUUCUUCCUUUUAAUUUUGUCUAAGUGUUAAAUAAACAUUUAUCCA